Molecule: unclassified non-coding RNA, 613 nt
Filed under: Hevea brasiliensis (rubber tree)
Lineage: Eukaryota; Viridiplantae; Streptophyta; Magnoliopsida; Malpighiales; Euphorbiaceae
Source: RNAcentral
AAAAAAUGUGAAGGAACAAAUCAGAAUUUUUACUUGAUCAGGCAGUCAACAACUGCUCAACGAGUCACCUAAAUUUGGGGCUAAUCUUAUACAACAUCUUAAGACUAAAGCUGGCGUGCCUUCAGGGCCUUGCAGACUAAAGUAUCACAUGAGUAUAAAAAGACCUCUGCUUGAUGGAUCAGGCAGGAGUCGAACUCAGAAGAGGCAUGACUUUGUUUAGCUCAUAGCAUUAUCACUUCUUGGUCAAUCUUUAUGCAAGGAAUAUGAGCGAUUCUGUUCCAGAUUUCCUUAUUCUCCUUCUGGUAGCAAUAUUUCAGUAAAGGGCAUUUCUUUAUAGAUAGGUAAAUUAGAGAAGCUGGAAGCCUCUCUUCUGGGAAGGACUGAAGUUGAAGACAGUUCUUGAUCUUAAACUCUUGAAGAGAGGUGAGAUGCUGUAGUCCAUUCUUAUUCAGGACUCUGAGACUCUGAAGUUGACAGAUGGAAAGUGUGGUCAGAGUGGUGGGCAGCAACCCCUCCUCAGGAAAGGACUCCAAAUCUUUACAACCUCCAAGACAAAAUAUUUUAAGAGAAGGGAGUCUCUGUAAACCCCAUUUUCUCCUGUUGGCAAUGAGUU